AGUGAACGCUGGCGGUAGGCCUAACACAUGCAAGUCGAACGGCAGCACAGUAAGAGCUUGCUCUUACGGGUGGCGAGUGGCGGACGGGUGAGGGAUACAUCGGAAUCUACUUUUUCGUGGGGGAUAACGUAGGGAAACUUACGCUAAUACCGCAUACGACCUACGGGUGAAAGCAGGGGAUCUUCGGACCUUGCGCGAUUGAAUGAGCCGAUGUCGGAUUAGCUAGUUGGCGGGGUAAAGGCCCACCAAGGCGACGAUCCGUAGCUGAUCUGAGAGGAUGAUCAGCCACACUGGAACUGAGACACGGUCCAGACUCCUACGGGAGGCAGCAGUGGGGAAUAUUGGACAAUGGGCGCAAGCCUGAUCCAGCCAUACCGCGUGGGUGAAGAAGGCCUUCGGGUUGUAAAGCCCUUUUGUUGGGAAAGAAAAGCAGCAGGUUAAUACCCCGCUGUUCUGACGGUACCCAAAGAAUAAGCACCGGCUAACUUCGUG
This 492-nucleotide ribosomal RNA is filed under the name uncultured bacterium. Its description in RNAcentral is "partial 16S ribosomal RNA". It matches the Rfam family "Bacterial small subunit ribosomal RNA", at positions 29 to 507 of the family's 1533-position model. The record is from RNAcentral.